Culex pipiens pallens (northern house mosquito) is the source of this 3786-nucleotide RNA transcript. RefSeq lists it as uncharacterized. Lineage: Eukaryota; Metazoa; Arthropoda; Insecta; Diptera; Culicidae. The transcript is spliced from 8 exons. The record is from RefSeq and is a predicted model, not a curated record.
UCCACGGGUCAGGAAGUUCCGUUUUUUUCGGCGGGUCCAGUUUUUCGGAAUAAUAAGAGCAAGAUUUGCGGAUCGCCGCGCGGGACCGCGGGUGUGUGUUUGUGAUGGUGGGAGGGGGUCGCCGUGCAGUGCGAGUAGCAUAACUUGCAGGCGCGCACUGGUGAAACUUCAAGCCUUUUUACUGUCCUGAGAACGCGCAGUGCGGGGUGGCGAGAUGAUUCUGGGCCUCAAUUUUGGGUGGCUGGUGUGAGUGCUGGGAAAAGAAAACAACCCAAACCCGCAGGAGGGAGGGGGUGGCGCCACCGUCAGUUUUUGCCCCAAGAAGUGACAUAACCAAAACCAAAACCAUUCCGGAGGGGUAGAGUGUGGAGUGGCGCUGGAAGAAGUGGUUCCGGCGAGAAGGUAGUUUAUGCCGUAGAAGCUCACGCGGAAGGUCGUCGGCGCGGGACGUGACCUCUCCAAUUUCGGCGGAUUGUGUGAGUUCGACUGGAAAGCCGAGCAAGCAGAGGAGUCGAAAAUUUUCUUCCGAGGAAAAGCUUGGGAUGAGGGAAGGAAGCUGGAGCAAAAAGUGUGCGAAAGUUCAAGCCUGAUGGGAAUAGAUAAGAAGGAAGGAAGGCAAGUUCAUAAAUGUGAAAGAGGUCGUCGUAAUCCGAUACACUUUUGGCAAAUGUAGAGAUUUCUGAUUUCGGAACUUGCCAAGCUUAGCUCCACGUCGCGCAUAGUUGUCAAAGUGUGAUAAAAGACGUGAAGUUCACCAAGGGAGGAAGCCAAAGUGCGAAAUCGUGAAGAGAGAAAGCAAAAAAAAUAUUGGAAAGUUCCACCCAAGUGUUGCUAAUUUGGGAUUUGUGAUUGUUCUUGGGAGGAGUUUUCACACUUUCUAGAAAGAAGAAAAGUUUCAAAAUACCGAAGAGAAAACGAAAAAAAAAAAAAACGAGGAGAUUGAUGAGGGUGUGUUUUAGUCGGAAGAGUGCUUGUGCUUUCCCCCUGGGGGAACUCGGUGUUGGCACAAGGAAUCAACAUCAACGCGCAACGUGCUUGGCAAGCGAGAAAACGUGAAGUUCUUCGGGUGGAAACGUCUAGCAGAGAGAGCAGUUCGAGGAACAUCGAGAACAGUAGCAGCAGAACGAUCCUGGGAAAUGAGCGGAUUUGCCUGAGCUGCUUUUGCACCCACCACAAUCCCCCCCCUACCCUCCCCCGAGGGGGGUGUGCCGACGCCGGUCCGCGCGAAUCCAGCAAAAGAACAAAAACCGGACGCCAGUUGCCAGUUGAGGCGGAAAAAAGGGCAUCCUCGGUGCGGCAGGAACCUACCCCAAAAAUAACCACGCCAUUAGGUCGAACAGGAUUUCGACCCACCUCAUCAACCCCUUGUCCCUUCUCCCAGACAGACGGAAAUGAAAAUUAAACCAGUGAACAGGAUGUUUUCGGCGGUUGAUACAACGGAACUUGACGUCCGAAGGGUUUGGCCAGAGGCCCUGGGAAGGGUUUGAGUGAAAAGUUGGGCUUUGCAGCAGCAGUGAUCGGGGGGACCGGUUGCCGUUGGACAAUUCAUCCUCGGGGAGGUCGCUUGAAGGAGUCUUCCCUGCGCUAGGCGGGGUCCCUCCCCGGCUCGAAAAUGCUAAUCAAGGCGAACAUUUGGGUGUACGUGUUUCAACUUGUGGUGAUGAAAGUAACCUACGCCGUGUACGGCCUCGACAGCGUCCACAUCCGCGUGCCGCAGGCCGUGGCGCUGGGCAGCUCGGCGGUGCUGAUCUGCGAGUGCGACCUGCCCGACGAGGACCUGUACUCGGUCAAGUGGUACAAGGGCAAGCACGAGUUCUUCCGCUACACCUCGAAGGAGAUCCCGUCGAUCAAGAUCUUCCCGAAGGCGGGCAUCAACGUCAAUGUCGAUCACUCCAACGCAAGCCACGUGAUCCUGGGCAACGUGGAACCGCACACCAGCGGGAAGUACAGCUGCGAGGUGACCGAGGCGGCACCCUCCUUCCACACUAAGAUAGUAACUAGAGAUUUAAAUGUAGUAGAUUUACCCAAAAGCGAUCCGGUGAUAGUGGACAUGAAGCCGUACUACGGCGCGGACGAGUUUCUCGAGGUCGAAUGCAUAUCAAACGAAUCACUGCCCGCGGCCCGGCUCGAAUGGCUCAUCAACGAUCAGCCGCUGGGCGUGAUACAGCCCCCGUCCAGGUUGGAGUUUCUGACCUUGCCAGCGGCCAAUGCAACCUCCGGAAGCGGUAGCAGUAGCAACAGCAGCAACGGCACCGACGGCAGUACGUCCACAGUCGCCGCCACUAGCAGUAAGAAAUCCACCAAGUCUUCCCUGCGCCACAAGUCGGACGAGGAGUCCAGCGAUUUGACAAACUCGCUUGAAGGUGGUGGCGGCGAGUUGGCGGUUCCGCUGGCCAUGAUCGCUUCGGCGGCGGCCCUCUCGCUGACGACGAGCUCGACCUCAACGGGGUCGGUGCUGCCCUCGCCGGCGGCCAUCCACGCUGGGAGUUCCAGUGGGAAGUCCGGCGGUGGCAAGAAGACCCUGGUGAACAGCCGGUACGAACGGUCCGUGGCGCGGCUCAAGUUGCUGCUCGGGCAUGAGCACUUUGAGGAGGGGAAGAUCAAGGUGAAGUGCAUCGCCCGGAUAUUCGACGUGUACGAGCGGACGGCCGUGCAGGUCGCCGACGAGAACUACCCCCAGGUGCGGGUACUGUCCAAGAGCGACAACGGCGUCCACUACUCCUUCAUGAGCGACAAGGACGAAGCGUCCUCCAAGGCAUCUUCCUCGUCCAGUUCGCAGCUGUCCCGGCCGCACCACCGGUGGUCAUCGAUGGUGCUGCGACCUGUGCUGAGCUGGCUUGCUGGCAACACUGCCACCACCACCGAAAUCACCGGUCAAAGUCAACUGCAAGAUACGGGCCAAAGUUGGACGUCCCAACUGUUGGGUGGGACAACGCUUGCGGCGUUUCUUCUCAGUUGGAAUGCUGGAGCUUCCGAGCUGCUGAUAGCACUGCCGAUGGCGACGAUGUUGCUGCUUUUCUAACCCGGUCGAGAAUAACAACAACAGAUUCCGAGAUUGGCCCCGACAGAUAGGGCAGUUGAUGGUCGUAAGGAACGGAAGAGUGCUGACACGUUCUCUGCUUCCAAUACCCCCAAAUACUGCCUGCCUUGGUCGAGUAAUUUGAUAAGGCACACCAAAGAAGCAAAAGACGCAAAAAAAAUCAACUUCGGAAUGGAAAAAUAACGAGCACCGCUCGUGUUACCAAUACAAGUCGAAGUACUCCCCCUCCCCCAGCGGGACGACACACAUUUGCUGUGCGGUUUGUUGUCAUUUGAAUCGACGAGUGAAACAGUAGAGUUUUGUAUUAUAAUGUGAAUGUAAAGUGUGUAGACAGAAAAAAAAGAAAAAAAAAGCGAGACGUCGAAUCAAGCGUCAAACGAAAGAGGAGCUAUUUUUUGUAAUGGUGGAGCAAAUGUGACAGAGUCUAACGAGAGCGAGAGAGAAAGAAAAAGCGAGCGAGAGAGAGAAGGUAGAUAUUUAAAUUUUAAUAUGAGAUAAGAGAUAACACUAGCUGAUAGCGGAUAAAACUAGAACAAUACCAUUAGGAUAACGAAGAGAAGCUGCGCUGCAUUGCAAACCCUAGAAAAGCGAAAGAAAACAAUUCGAACUGAACACGACGGUUGUACAGGAUAACAGUUAUGCUAAGCUAUGAUGUAAAGUGACACUAAGUAUUAUGACAUAUUGAAGAAGAAAAAAAAAACAACAUAAACUGCAAAUAAAAAGACAAGCAAACUCUUGCAAAUUUA